GCUAUUGGAGUUCGAUUAAGCCAUGCGAGUCGAGAGUCUUAGGGACUCGGCGUACCGCUCAGUAACACGUGGGUAACCUGCCCUAUGCUGGGGAAUAACCUCGGGAAACUGAGAAUAAUGCCCCAUAGUCCACAAUGCCUGGAACGGUUUGUGGAUCAAAGCUCCGGCGGCAUAGGAUGGGCCUGCGGCGUAUCGGGUUGUAGGGGGUGUAACGUACCCUCUAGCCAUCAACGCGUACGGGUGUUGGGAGACAUAGCCCGGAGAUGGAUUCUGAGACACGAAUCCAGACCCUACGGGGUGCAGCAGGCGCGAAAACUUGGCAAUGCGAGAAAUCGUGACCAGGGAACUCCAAGUGGCUGGGGUAAGACCCAGUCUUUUCUUGACUCUUCAAAGGUCUUGGAAUAAGGGGUGGGUAAGGACGGUGCCAGCCGCCGCGGUAAUACCGGCGCCUCAAGUGGUAGUCGAUUUUAUUGGGCCUAAAACGUCCGUAGCCUGUUUGGUACAUUCGUGGGUAAAUCAACCAGCUCAACUGGUUGAAUUCUGCGAGCACGGCCAGACUUGGGACCGGGAGAGGUGUGGGGUACGCUCAGGGUAGGGGUAAAAUCCUGUCAUCCUGAGCGGACCACCUGUUGCGAAGGCGCCACACUAGAACGGAUCCGACGGUCAGGGACGAAGCCUAGGGGCACGAACCGGAUUAGAUACCCGGGUAGUCCUAGGUGUAAACGCUGUGGACUUGGUGUUGGGGACUCUCCGAGAAUCCUCAGUGCCGAAGCGAAGGUGAUAAGUCCACUGCCUGGGGAGUACGGUCGCAAGGCUGAAACUUAAAGGAAUUGGCGGGGGAGCACCGC
Molecule: ribosomal RNA, 848 nt
Filed under: uncultured archaeon
Lineage: Archaea
Description: bacterial SSU rRNA
Rfam family: Archaeal small subunit ribosomal RNA
Source: RNAcentral